UCCCUGGUGGUCCAGUGGUUAAGAUUUCUUGCUUUCACUGCCAAGGGCCCAGGUUCAAUCCCUGGUCAGGGAA
RNAcentral lists this transfer RNA (73 nucleotides) under Bos taurus (domestic cattle). It matches the Rfam family "tRNA". Rfam says of the family: Transfer RNA (tRNA) molecules are approximately 80 nucleotides in length. Their secondary structure includes four short double-helical elements and three loops (D, anti-codon, and T loops). Further hydrogen bonds mediate the characteristic L-shaped molecular structure. tRNAs have two regions of fundamental functional importance: the anti-codon, which is responsible for specific mRNA codon recognition, and the 3' end, to which the tRNAs corresponding amino acid is attached (by aminoacyl-tRNA synthetases). tRNAs cope with the degeneracy of the genetic code in two manners: having more than one tRNA (with a specific anti-codon) for a particular amino acid; and 'wobble' base-pairing, i.e. permitting non-standard base-pairing at the 3rd anti-codon position. The record is from Rfam by way of RNAcentral. Lineage: Eukaryota; Metazoa; Chordata; Mammalia; Artiodactyla; Bovidae. RNAcentral also lists the same sequence under 4 other names.